Molecule: ribosomal RNA, 208 nt
Filed under: uncultured bacterium
Lineage: Bacteria
Description: partial 16S ribosomal RNA
Rfam family: Bacterial small subunit ribosomal RNA
Source: RNAcentral
CUCGUAGGCGGCCAACUAAGUCGGACGUGAAAUCCCUCGGCUUAACCGGGGAACUGCGUCCGAUACUGGAUGGCUAGAGUUCGGGAGAGGGAUGCGGAAUUCCAGGUGUAGCGGUGAAAUGCGUAGAUAUCUGGAGGAACACCGGUGGCGAAGGCGGCAUCCUGGACCGACACUGACGCUGAGGAGCGAAAGCCAGGGGAAGCAAACG